CCCUGCCCCCACUUCCAAACCUACUCCAUGGGGAACUCUGGGGCGGGGCCCAGACAUCAGCUUCCCCACACUGACAAGUGAUCCUGAUGUCUCAAAGUUAGCAAUGAGGAGUGCAGGUGUAACCCGGCAGCCUCUCCCAGGCAAAAUUCAGAGCGUCAUGAGCAUCAGCCAGCAGGAUUUGCAGAGGGCCUGGGGUGCACCCACUGUCCCUGUGAAUCAGUCACCGUACUUUAGACAAACGCAACAUUUAGCCAGCUAGGCCGUAGCAUUAGGCAACCCUUCUUUAGAGUGGCUUUGACAGAUGCUUCUCGUAGCAGCAAAAUGGAACAUUUUCACAUCGUAACUAACAUUUACAACUCUCGAUUUUUCUAGUUAUAAGCUGGGAUCUCUGCACAGGGCUCACUGUGCUACUCUACUCUGCCUCCGGCCUCCUGUUGAUACUCUCUAUGAGAAAAGAGAGCCAGCCAGUCACCGUGACCACAAUGUUUGCAUUCCACCAUCCCCCAGUGCAAAUGCAGUGCAUGCGGGUGGUGGGCUCACACCCCAGCAGUCACGCAGGCCUGGGACACACAGAGGCUGGAUCCCUCCCCACGAAGCAAAGGGAGUCAUGCACCGUGUGCUAUCUUCCAUAUUUACCGACUUAAUGCUUGUUCUGUGGAAGAGCCCUCUUUCUUCUAUUACUAGCUAAUUUAUAGCCAUAUGAGUAUAAACAUUUCCUGGGUUCUUUUAUCAUUCACAACUUUGUUCUGUCGGUAAUACUAUCUGUCAUUCUUUGUAGUACGGUAAGCUCUUUCAAACCCAAGAUAUCUCUAUUUCUAAAUGGAAUCUGAGAUGAAUUUUGAUAAACAUGCAUUCUGUAUCUUAAUAAAAAAGGGAUUUUCCCCCUUAACUACCUGAAUAUAUAAAUGUUUAAAAAGUUUCUGAAACCUGCCUUUGCAUUAGGUGAAAAUUCAAUGUCAAAAUAAUAUUAAAAAUACACAAAACAGUAGGAAAUUGUUUUAACCAUGAUGUGAUAAAUAAUAAAUCAGAAUGCAAGUUACUCUGCGAUUAUGGGUUUUCUCCAUUCUUUAAGCUUCUUGCCUGUUCCACAUCAGUGGAUCGACAGCCCUUUAGUUUAACAAUUAUGCACACAGGCAAUCUUGUUAGGACUUGAUAGAACGCUGUCACUGCCUUUGUCCCUGCCAUGCAAAGAUGCUACAGUAAAAGCUAUAAUGUACCCAGCUGCUGUGCGCUGAGGCAAUGUGCCCAAGCAAGAAAGUUCCAAGCAAAGUUCCAAUGGACCGAAUAUGAGUUUGCCUGCCGGAGGGUGAAGGCAGGAGAUAGAACCCAAAUAUCACUCCAUUUGUAGGUGAUUCUCCCUAAUUAUAGCUCAGACCAACUUUCAG
This 1385-nucleotide long non-coding RNA is filed under the name Canis lupus familiaris (dog). Its description in RNAcentral is "lncRNA (ENSCAFG00845004453.1)". Lineage: Eukaryota; Metazoa; Chordata; Mammalia; Carnivora; Canidae. The record is from RNAcentral.